GGGAGUUUAAAGAAACACCUUGAAAAACAGGAUCAGGAAGAGGGUGAUCACAUUCUGCCACCAUUCACAUUUUCUUAAUUAUUGUUAAUUGUCCCAGUGUAGAGGAAAGCUCCAACAAUGGCCAAAUACAAUGGUUUUUUUAUUAAUGUCUCAGAAAAUUGCUAAGUCAGUAGGAGAAAAUAAGACAUGUCUUCAACUAUUAUCAUUUGGAGAUGUUUUGCUUAUUUUUUGAAACUAGAAAUCUAGUGUGUACUGAAGGCAAAAGGGUUUGCAUUUUUCGCAGGAAUAAAUAACAUGAGGUAACAAGAUUUUGAGAUAGUGUUGAUUUUUGGUGAUUUUGUCACAUCCUCCUUUAGUGUAUGUUUUUAUUUUCUUAUCCUUCAGUUCAACUCUUGAGUUGCUCCGAUGAUCCACCCACCCUGGACCCAUACCCCUGUCUCCAGGCACUGAAUUUUAAGAGGAAAUUCCUGGAGACCCUAAAACCUUCAAGACACAAAGAAUGCAAGAUAGAGAAAAAUAGUGACAGUCAGUUCUUUUGGAGUAAAAUGUCACUGCCUCAAACAUACUUCAUAGGUAUUCAUCACAUACCAAUUCUGAAAUUAGCCUGCUUGUUAUGGUGUUAUGACAGCAAACAGUAUGCAAAGGUUGGCCUAUAUCAUAAUGCUCUGAAUAAACCUUUUGGAAUAUCCCACCAAUAA
This 698-nucleotide long non-coding RNA is filed under the name Vulpes vulpes (red fox). RNAcentral's name for it is "lncRNA (ENSVVUG00000022144.1)". Lineage: Eukaryota; Metazoa; Chordata; Mammalia; Carnivora; Canidae. The record is from RNAcentral.